Molecule: ribosomal RNA, 253 nt
Filed under: uncultured bacterium
Lineage: Bacteria
Description: partial 16S ribosomal RNA
Rfam family: Bacterial small subunit ribosomal RNA
Source: RNAcentral
UACAGAGGUCCCAAGCGUUGUUCGGAUUCACUGGGCGUAAAGCGUGCGUAGGUGGUUCGUUAAGUCUGAUGUGAAAGCCCUGGGCUCAACCUGGGAAUGGCAUUGGAAACUGGCGACCUAGAGUGCGGUAGAGGGCAGUGGAAUUCCCGGUGUAGCAGUGAAAUGCGUAGAGAUCGGGAGGAACAUCUGUGGCGAAGGCGACUGCCUGGACCAGCACUGACACUGAGGCACGAAAGCGUGGGGAGCAAACAGG